CAACUUUUAACGGUGGAUCUCUUGGCUCGUGCAUCGAUGAAGAACGCAGCCWGGUGCGAUAAGUANUGUGAAUUGCAGAAUUCAGUGAAUCAUCGAAUCUUUGAACGCAAAUGGNGCUCUUGG
This 123-nucleotide ribosomal RNA is filed under the name Antipathes furcata. RNAcentral describes it as "partial 5.8S ribosomal RNA". It matches the Rfam family "5.8S ribosomal RNA", at positions 1 to 122 of the family's 154-position model. Rfam says of the family: 5.8S ribosomal RNA (5.8S rRNA) is a component of the large subunit of the eukaryotic ribosome. The record is from RNAcentral. Lineage: Eukaryota; Metazoa; Cnidaria; Anthozoa; Antipatharia; Antipathidae.